UACGUAGGAGGCAAGCGUUGUCCGGAAUUACUGGGCGUAAAGCGCGUGUAGGUGGUGGGACAAGUCUGCUGUGAAAGCGCCUGGCUUAACCGGGCGAGGUCGGCGGAAACUGUCCGACUCGAGGACGGUAGAGGGGGGUGGAAUUCCCGGUGUAGUGGUGAAAUGCGUAGAGAUCGGGAGGAACACCUGUGGCGAAGGCGGCCCCCUGGGCCGGCCCUGACGCACUGAGACGCGAAGGCGUGGGGAGCGAACGGG
This 255-nucleotide ribosomal RNA is filed under the name uncultured bacterium. Its description in RNAcentral is "partial 16S ribosomal RNA". It matches the Rfam family "Bacterial small subunit ribosomal RNA", at positions 524 to 776 of the family's 1533-position model. The record is from RNAcentral.